GUGCUCGCUUCAGCAGCACAUAUACUAAAAUUGGAAUGAUACAGAGAAGAUUAGCAUGGCCCCUGUGCAAGGAUGACAUGCAAAUUAGUGAAGCGUUCCAUAUUUUU
This 107-nucleotide small nuclear RNA is filed under the name Physeter macrocephalus (sperm whale). Lineage: Eukaryota; Metazoa; Chordata; Mammalia; Artiodactyla; Physeteridae. The record is from RNAcentral.